This 364-nucleotide ribosomal RNA is filed under the name Olavius tenuissimus. RNAcentral describes it as "partial 12S ribosomal RNA". Lineage: Eukaryota; Metazoa; Annelida; Clitellata; Tubificida; Naididae. The record is from RNAcentral.
UUAUAAUCUACAAAUAAUAAUUAGUUACUAAUAACAACAGUUAAAAAACCAAAAACCUUGGCGGUGUUUAUACAAAACCAGGGGAACUUGUCACUUAAUAUGAUACCCCACAACUAUCUAACCAUAUCUAGAACUCCAGCUUGCAUACUGCCGCCCAGCUUAACCUAAAACGACAAGCAANCAAUUAAACAAAUAAUACUACAGGUCAAAGUGCAGCCAAUGAUAUGGGGUAAGAUGAGUUACACUUACUACACUAUAGNAAUAUUAAACUAAAUAUAGAACUUGACAGUAAUAAAAUUUUACUAUAACUUUAUAAACCCACAUAUAACAUGCACAUAUCGCCCGUCACUUUCGCUGAAAAACG